RNAcentral lists this unclassified non-coding RNA (376 nucleotides) under soil metagenome. RNAcentral describes it as "partial contains 5.8S ribosomal RNA, internal transcribed spacer 2, and large subunit ribosomal RNA". The stretch from base 1 to 120 matches the Rfam family "5.8S ribosomal RNA", at positions 35 to 154 of the family's 154-position model. The record is from RNAcentral.
GAUGAAGAACGUAGCGAAAUGCGAUAAGUAAUGUGAAUUGCAGAAUUCAGUGAAUCAUCGAAUCUUUGAACGCAUCUUGCGCUCCUUGGUAUUCUGAGGAGCAUGCCUGUUUGAGUGUCAUUAAAUUCUCAACUACACUGACUUUGAAUUGGUGUGGCUUGGAUUUGGGGGGAAAAUUGUUGUGGGCUUUUUGUAUAGUCUGCUCCCCUGAAAUUGAUUAGCGGUACCUUUGUGGAACGGUCUACAGGUGUGAUAAUUAUCUACAUCUUAGACAUCUGCUGGAAUGCUGCUUUCUAAACCUUACUUGUAUUGACAAUCUUGACCUCAAAUCAGGUAGGACUACCCGCUGAACUUAAGCAUAUCAAUAAGCGGAGGA